AUUGAACGCUGGCGGCAGGCCUAACACAUGCAAGUCGAGCGGCAGCGGGAAAGUAGCUUGCUACUUUUGCCGGCGAGCGGCGGACGGGUGAGUAAUGCCUGGGAAAUUGCCCAGUCGAGGGGGAUAACAGUUGGAAACGACUGCUAAUACCGCAUACGCCCUACGGGGGAAAGCAGGGGACCUUCGGGCCUUGCGCGAUUGGAUAUGCCCAGGUGGGAUUAGCUAGUUGGUGAGGUAAUGGCUCACCAAGGCGACGAUCCCUAGCUGGUCUGAGAGGCUGGUAAGCCACACUGGAACUGAGAAACGGUCCAGACUCCGACGGGAGGCAGCAGUGGGGAAUAUUGCACGAUGGGGGAAACCCUGAUGCAGCCAUGCCGCGUGUGUGAAGAAGGCCUUCGGGUUGUAAAGCACUUUCAGCGAGGAGGAAAGGUUGAUGCCUAAUACGUAUCAACUGUGACGUUACUCGCAGAAGAAGCACCGGCUAACUCCGUGCCAGCAGCCGCCGUAA
Molecule: ribosomal RNA, 508 nt
Filed under: uncultured bacterium
Lineage: Bacteria
Description: partial 16S ribosomal RNA
Rfam family: Bacterial small subunit ribosomal RNA
Source: RNAcentral